Molecule: ribosomal RNA, 428 nt
Filed under: uncultured bacterium
Lineage: Bacteria
Description: partial 16S ribosomal RNA
Rfam family: Bacterial small subunit ribosomal RNA
Source: RNAcentral
GUCGGGAGUCUUGCACAAUGGGGGAAACCCUGAUGCAGCGACGUCGCGUGUGGGAUGAAGUAUUUCGGUAUGUAAACCACUUUUGCGGGGGGCGAAAAAAAUGACGGUACCCCGCGAAUAAGCCCCGGCUAACUACGUGCCAGCAGCCGCGGUAAUACGUAGGGGGCGAGCGUUGCUCGGAUUGACUGGGCGUAAAGCGCGCGUAGGCGGACAUUUAAGUCAGGGGUGAAAUCCCGGGGCUCAACCUCGGAACUGCCUUUGAUACUGGGUGUCUUGAGUAUGAGAGAGGUGUGUGGAACUCCGAGUGUAGAGGGGAAAUUCGUAGAUAUUCGGAAGAACACCAGUGGCGAAGGCGACACACUGGCUCAUUACUGACGCUGAGGCGCGAAAGCGUGGGGAGCAAACAGGAUUAGAAACCCUUGUAGUCC